RNAcentral lists this ribosomal RNA (518 nucleotides) under uncultured bacterium. RNAcentral's name for it is "bacterial SSU rRNA". It matches the Rfam family "Bacterial small subunit ribosomal RNA", at positions 403 to 911 of the family's 1533-position model. The record is from RNAcentral.
GAGCGAUGAAGGCUUUCGGGUCGUAAAGCUCUGUGGGGCGGGACGAAUAAGGCUUGGCUAACAUCCAAGUCGAUGACGGUACCGCCUUAGCAAGCACCGGCUAACUCUGUGCCAGCAGCCGCGGUAAAACGUAGGAGGCGAGCGUUAUCCGGAUUCACUGGGCGUAAAGCGCGUGCAGGUGGCUUGGUAAGUUAGGCGUGAAAUCUCCCGGCUCAACUGGGAGAGGUCGUCUAAUACUACCGGGCUAGAGAGCAGAAGAGGAAGAUGGAAUUCCCGGUGUAGUGGUGAAAUGCGUAGAUAUCGGGAGGAACACCAGUGGCGAAGGCGAUCUUCUGGUCUGUUUCUGACACUCAGACGCGACAGGCUAGGGGUUAGUCCCACGGGAAUUUAGAGAACCCCGGGUUAUCCUAGCUGUAAACGAUGUGAACUUGGCGUUGGUGGCUAACUCCAUCAGUGCCGUAGCAAACGCGAUAAGUUCACGCCUGGGACUACGGCCGCAGGUUAAACUCAAAGGAAUU